CAGACUUCGGGUUACCACCUUUGGCUCAACCAAAGGGGCGGGAAUGGAGGAGGAGAAUUGCCGAGUUGUGCGAAAAUCUUUGAGAAUCCCCAUUCUAUCGACCCCAUAGGAAAUGUAACACCUGCAUCUUCACCUGCCCCUCACCACUGUCCAGAGACUUAAGCAGCCUUUGAGGUGAAGCAGAGGUCAAACCUGGUCCACUGCAUUUGGUGUUCAUGAAAUGGCCUGAUCUACACUGGUGAAUCAAAAGAAGUUUUCUCAGAGAAAAUCAAACAGCAAUGUGAAACUUAACACUGCUUCCAGUGAUCAAGCUCAACCUUCAGAAGGGAAAGACCACAAAUCUGGUACCAACUCAUGAUCCUUGUGCUUCUGUGUGCCCUCCAGAGACGAACAACCUGCACAGGUACGUCAAAACAUGCUAAAAGUACCAUCAACACUGACUCCAUAAAAAAAUUAUUCAAAUCCAAGGGUUGAAUCAAUGUCACUAUCUCUUCCUUGUCGACAUCACCUAUGGGACAGCUUUCUUGGCCUCACAAUUAUGCCAAACCGUUGCGCUUCCGACAACUUGCUUUUCAUGAACAUUUAGGGGAUCUCUAUGAAAGGAGGGAGAGAGGGAGAGUGAGAGAGAGAGAGAGAGAGAGAGAGAGAGAGAGAGAGAGAGAGAGAGACUGACUCUGCCUAUCCGUGAAUGUGGGUGUGCAUAAGUUGCUGACACCGUGGUAUCCGAGAGUUAAGCUCAUGCAGAAUACUUGCCUUCCCCUCUUUGCUGUGACAUAUCCACAUGUCCUCUAGAUUCACAAUAUCUCUUUCACUGUUACUCCAUGUGGUAGAGUGGAUAGCUGUGAGUGGACAUAUCAGUGGCAACUCUUCACUUUGGUUUUGGAUUAUCUUCCAGGUCCCAAGCACAAAGUACUUUCCUUCCACUUUCCACCUUCUCCCCAAGGAUAUUGUCCUUGAUAGAAGUGGCAGGUGUGCUUUCCUGUUGCCUCUUUCCCUCAAGUUCAAGUUUAGUUUAUUGUCAUUCAACCAUAUACGUGUAUACCACCAAAUAAAACAACAUUCCUCUGGACCAAGGUGCACAAUACAGCACAUAUAACUCUCACACAUACAUAGAGUAAAUUUACCACAAAUAAAUUAACAAACCAUAAGGUGCAUAUAUGGUACAAAUUUAAAAAGAACAGUAUAACGGUACUAAUAUUUCAUGCAUGAUGAGACCUGGGUGGAGGCAAAGAAUUCAGUAGUCUUACAGCCUAGGGUAAGAAACUGCUUCCCAUCCAAAUGGUUCUUGUCCUGAUGCUACAGUACCUCCCGCCUGAUGGUAGGGGUGGGGUCAGAGAUAUUGUUGGAUGGAUGGGAAGGGUUGCUAACAAUACUAAAAGCCCUGUGUACACAGCACUCCUGAUAACCAUCUCUAAUGGGUGGAACGGACCCUGAUAAUCCUCUCAGCAGUCCUCACAAUCUUUUGUACAGACUUGCAAUCAGAUGACUUGCAAUUCCUGUACCAAACAAUGAUGCUGCUGGUCAGGACACUCUCAAUGGCAUUCCUGUAAAAAAAUUGGUUAAAAUGGGGUUGGGGGGGGGGGAACCCUUUCUCACCUCAAUCUCUUCUGGAACUGGAGACACUGCUGUGCUUCUUUCAGCAAAGAGGUGGUGUUGAGGGACCAGGUCAGAUUGUCCGUUAAGUACACUUCCAGAAACUUGGUGAUGCUAUUUCUUUCCACAGAGGAACCGUGUACAUGCAGUGAGGUCAGCCUGCACAUUCCUGAAGUCCACAAUCAUCUGUUUGGUCUUGUCCACAUUGAGUGUGAAGUUGUUGUGCUCACACAGUUCUGCCAGCUACUCUACCUCCUCUCUGCACGCCGUCUCGUCAUCAUUGUUGAUGAAGCCAAACACUAUUGUGUCAUUAGCGAACUUGUUGAUUGGUUUGAACCGCAUCCGGUAGUGCAGGCAUGCAUCAGCAGUUCAAACAGCAGCAAGCUGAGCUCGCAGCACUGUGGAGCACUGGUGCUCGGCAUGAUGGAGCUAGACACAUUUCUGCCAACAUGAACUGACUAUCACCUUUCUAACAAGAAGUUCAGGAUACAGUGAAAGCUUACCCACCGCCUUCUGAGGUACAAUUGUGUUGAACGCCAAGCUGAAGUUAAUAAAAAGCAAACACGAGGAAAUCUGCAGAUGCUGGAAAUUCAAACAACAACACACAAAAUGCUGCUGGAACACAGCAGACCAGGCAGCAUCUAUAGGAGAAGCACUGUCGACGUUUCAGUAAAAAAAAUGGGAUCCUCAGAAGGUCCAAAACUACCUUGGUAGUUAAUGGUGGUUAACUAAUGGUAGUCUCAACUACCAUUACUGACGUAGGAACGUGGAUCAAGAUAAAUUGGAUUUUGAAAAUUAAUAUAGAAAUGUGAAAAUAAAUGUGCUUGUAAUAAAAACAAGAAAGUAAUAAAAACAGAAAGUAUUAUUAGAAAUAAAGAACAUAUAUGAAAAUGAACAGAAAUGCUGUAGUGACAACCUUGUUGAGAAUACUGUAAUACCAGUUACAGAUUAGUACUACAGUGAAUUCUGGUUUACUGUGACAUUGGUUAAUCAGGGCAGCUGCUGAUUUGGGACAACUCUUAAAGAACAAAAACAAAUUGAGAAAAUAGCUGGGAUUCCCUUCAUUUAUUUUGGGACACUAUGCCACUUGACUGUGGCAGGAGACCGUUGCCAAACCUUUUCAAACUAAUGUCAGUCUCAUGCACAUCACGUGGCUGUUAGACACGACACCAUGGAGCAAACAGUUUUUAAAUCAAUUUCACUACUUCAUUAAGUUAAGAACUACAAAGAAAUUGAAGGUAUUGACAAUCAUCUUGAAUGUUACAGUGAAAAUAAAGAAUUGGAGGAUGCAGUCGUCGAUAGCACUGUAUGAAAGCAGUUCAUUAUCUCCACUAGGUGUCUGCAUUAAUUUUGUUCAUUGCAUACACUGGACGAAUUCAUAGAAAACACAGAAAACCUACAACACAAUACAGACCCUCUGGCCCAUCAAGUUGUGCCGAACAUGUCCCUACCUUAGAAAUUACUAGGGUUACCCUCUAUGUUUCUAAGAUCCAUGUACCUAUCCAAAAGUCUCCCUAUCGUAUCCGCGUCCACCACCAUUGCCGGCAGCCCAUUCCACGCACUCACCACUGUCUGCGUAAAAAACUUACCCCUGACAUCUCCUCUGUACCUACUCCCCAGCACCUUAAACCUGUGUCCUCUUGUGGUAACCAGUUCAGCCCUGGGAAAAAGCAUCUGACUAUCCACACGAUCAAUGCCUCUCAUUAUCUUGUACACCUCUAUCAGGUCAGCUCUCAUCCUCCGUUGCUCCAAAGAGAAAAGGCCAAGUUCACUCAACCUGUUUUCAUAGGGCAUGCUCCCCAAUCCUGGCAACAUCCUUGUAAAUCUCCUCUGCUCCUUUUCUAUGGUUUCCACAUUCUUCCUGUCGUGAGAUGACCAGAACUGAGCACAGUACUCCAAGUGGGUCUGACCAGGGUCUUAUAUAGCUGCAACAUUACCUCUCAGCUCCUAAGUUCAAUUCCACUAUUGAUGAAGGUCAAUACACCGUAUGCCUUCUUAACCACAGAGUCAACCUGUGCAGCUGCUUUGAGCGUCCUAUUGAUUUGGACCCCAAGAUACCUCCAAUCCUCUACACUGCCAAGAGUCUUACCAUUAAUACUAUAUUCUACCAUCAUAUUUGACCUUCCAAAAUGAACCACCUCACACUUAUCUGGCACUCUUGCCACUUCUCAGCCCAGUUUUGCAUCCUAUCAAUGUCCCGGUGUAACCUCUGACAGCCCUCCACACUAUCCACAACACCCCCAACCUUUGUGUCAUCAGCAAACUUACUAACCCAUCCCUUCACUUCCUCAUCCAGGUAACUAUCGAUAACUAAAUUCCUCCAUCGAUAACUGUUAGGAACUAAUACACAGUUUUAUAGUACUGUAGUACUAUUGGUUCUGUUCUAAUUUGUUCUGUAGUUUAUUUAAAUACAUAAUUUGUUCCUCGGUUUGUCUUUUUUAAUAUCCUUUAAACUAUUUCAGGUAGCCACUUAAUUGGACUAAAAUGUACUUGUCUCGAUGUGUCCCAAUUAAUUGGAAACCACUGUAUUUGUGUUGAGAAAUUGUAGCCUUUGUUGGUUUGGGAGGCAUUACUUGUGAGUCCAUGGAGAAAAAAAACUGAAACUUAUUGUUUUUAUUUAUUAAUUGAGAUACAGCGUGGAAUUGGCCCUUCUGGCUCUUCGAGCUGUGGCACCCAGCCACCCCCAAUUUAACCUCAGGAUAAUCGCAGGACAAUUUACAAUGACCAAGUACCAAUCAACGGCUAUGUCUUUGGACUGUGGGAAGAAACCAGAGCACCCAAAGGAAACCCACACAGCAACAGUGAAAAUGUACGAACUCUGUACAGACAGCAGUCUUCGUAGAAACUAUGCCCUUUUCCUCUGCAGAGCUGUUGGACCUGGUGUCAAUUCCCAGAUCCAAGCAUAUAUUUUCCUGUUUCAGUGUUUUCAGUCUUUUGUCUACUGUUGUAAAAACUACAAGUGCAUCCCCUGCUACUGUGACAAGGCUGAACUUUUCCUGCUUGCCCCUCUCCUGUUUGCAUCCUUCAAUAAAAUCAAUCUCACUCAUCCAAUGGCUCUCCUCCUUUGUCCUUGUGAGU
This is a long non-coding RNA of Hypanus sabinus (Atlantic stingray), 4671 nucleotides long. RefSeq lists it as uncharacterized. The transcript has 3 exons. Lineage: Eukaryota; Metazoa; Chordata; Chondrichthyes; Myliobatiformes; Dasyatidae. The record is from RefSeq and is a predicted model, not a curated record.